AUUGAACGCUGGCGGCGUGCCUAACACAUGCAAGUCGAGCGGCAGCGCGGGAGCAAUCCUGGCGGCGAGCGGCGGACGGGUGAGUAAUGCUUGGGAAUCUGCCUGUUAGUGGGGGACAACCCGGGGAAACUCGGGCUAAUACCGCAUACGCACUACGGUGGAAAGCCGGGGACCGCAAGGCCUGGCGCUAACAGAUGAGCCCAAGUCGGAUUAGCUAGUUGGUAGGGAACGGCCUACCAAGGCGACGAUCCGUAACUGGUCUGAGAGGACGACCAGUCACACCGGAACUGAGACACGGUCCGGACUCCUACGGGAGGCAGCAGUGGGGAAUAUUGGACAAUGGGGGAAACCCUGAUCCAGCGACGCCGCGUGGGUGAAGAAGGCCUGCGGGUUGUAAAGCCCUUUCAGUGGGGAAGAAAGCCUCGACCUAACACGUCGGGGUCUUGACGUAACCCAUAGAAGAAGCACCGGCUAACUCUGUGCCAGCAGCCGCGGUAAU
This 499-nucleotide ribosomal RNA is filed under the name uncultured bacterium. Its description in RNAcentral is "bacterial SSU rRNA". It matches the Rfam family "Bacterial small subunit ribosomal RNA", at positions 29 to 524 of the family's 1533-position model. The record is from RNAcentral.